RNAcentral lists this long non-coding RNA (1362 nucleotides) under Monodelphis domestica (gray short-tailed opossum). Its description in RNAcentral is "lncRNA (ENSMODG00000042975.1)". Lineage: Eukaryota; Metazoa; Chordata; Mammalia; Didelphimorphia; Didelphidae. The record is from RNAcentral.
CACAUCCACAAUUUUGAGAAGACUAGAUGUCAUUAAAGACCAGCAAUGAGCAUGAUCUAUAAAAGCAGCUCAAAUGAACAAUGGCUCUGAAACAUUAGAGAUACACAUCAUCUGUGUUUUAUGGUCAGAGAUUGGCAGAGUAUGUGCCCUUGAUGUUUCUACUUUUCUGGGAGAAGAGUGGACAAGUGAUGUCUGAAAGAUGUCCAGUGAGGGGGAACACACUACCACCUAAAGCAAUCCGUCCCACUAUGGGAUUCAAUUUAAUUCAACAAAUAUUCAUAGGAAGACCCACAAAGGAAAGUUCUUGCUUCCAAAGUUCUUGGAAUUGCCAAAUGAUUCAACAUCAGAAACUGAUUUCUUGAUUCUAUACAGAUUGAUGAAAAAGAAUGACUUUACCUAGAAGACAGGAUCUCUGCAGAAGUAAGUGCCUCUUUUCUCUGAUUCUUAUUAAAUAGAGUCUAAUUUGGCUGAGGAAGCUACUCAAGACUCAUUAAAUCACAUUACACUCUGAAAGUUUUGCUAGUUUGUCCCCACUCAUUUAUCAUGGGCGUUCCCUGCAUGGUGGACAUGAUCGAUUUCUUUUUUAAAAAGAUCCCAAACCAACCUUGGCUGUAACUAAGCAACCCUCUUCCUACUUUGGAACCCUUACUAGAACCACCUCCACCCCUUACUUAAAAGGAACUUAACCUUAUCCAUUCUCUUUUGUGCUUCCAAAUUUAUUGAACUACCCUAUUUAACAGGUGCACACUCAACUGGGGAAAGUUCGGCAUGCUCUCAGGUAGGACAGAUAUUGACUUUUGCCUGCUGGAUCAGAACUUUGGGCCAAAGGCAAAAGAGGGAAUGUGUAUUAUAAUUAGAGACAAACAUGAAGGUUUCUAGAUACAAGAGUUGAAUUGGAACAAUCUUGUCCUAUGGUGAUAGAUUGUUUUCGUAACUAAACUGGCCUCAGAAAAUUACUCAGAUGUAGAGAGAUGCAUGGUGUGAAGGUAAUUUGGAUGACUGGCAGGAUGUUGUUGGUCCCAGUGUCAAAAAGGGGUCUCUAAAAGCUUCUUGCACAAAUAUUCUGUGAAGUGUUUAGAAUGUUUCCCUCUUAUUCCUACAUUAUAGCAGCACAGUUACCAUACACUUCCACAAUUAUGGAGUCACAUGUCAACUGUGUGAUUAGUAAAGGUGCUUCAAUUUACAUAAUGGGAUCUCUAAGCUUAUAAUGGUCACAAACCUUAAUCCACUGAUUCCCUUUGGCUAUGAAUAAGUAUAAAAUCUGCUAACUUUCCACCCAACUCAAUGCCAUUUCUAUCUGCUCCAGUGCCACAUUUAGCUGAUGAUUCUUGCUUUAUAUAACACUACUCAGUGCAGAGAGAA